UCAGAAGCAUUUGCAUUUUAGCAGGGCACUUUUGAAUAGUGAAGAGCCAUUAAGUCAUAAAGGAACAAAUUUUUAAUGGAAUUGCAGUGGGUAACAUAAAAUAUAGUAAGAUGGGUUUCAGAUGUGUAUAAAAUGAAAAGAACAAGGUGGGGAGGGAGUUCAGAAGAGUUAUUGCAAUACAUUCUUCCAUGCCACUUUUGAAGGCUUUUAGUUCUAAUCCACUGACAAAUUUUUGCUCUGCCAUUUUUGUUGUAGUAAUACAAAACAGAUGUAUGACUUAGAAAGGGGAAAGGACCUCUCCCUACUACGCAGUAUAUUACGAACUUGGAAACAGAUUAAAUCUCUUCGACAUGGGCAAGGGUUUACAAGCACCCCAAUAAAGUUACAGGUUCAGAGGAUUAAAAUGAAUAAAUGUGAUGAACAAGAGCAAAUCUCAGAAAUGUCUGAAACUGAG
This 454-nucleotide small RNA is filed under the name Pongo abelii (Sumatran orangutan). RNAcentral's name for it is "retained intron". The record is from RNAcentral. Lineage: Eukaryota; Metazoa; Chordata; Mammalia; Primates; Hominidae.